AUCGAUUUUAUUGAUCAGACCAUUGAUGUAUCCAUGUUAUUUACAAAAUCAUGGGAAGAAUGCAUUAAAGAACAAGGAGUAAAAACACCAACAUGUUUUUUACCUCACAGCAUUAAUCCACAUACAUUUUAUCCAUUGCCUAAAUUUUUAGCGCGUAAGUUUUUUAAUCUAAGUAUGGAUGAUUUUAUAAUUCUCAAUCUAAAUCGAAACCAACCUCGUAAAAGAUGGGAUAUUUGUCUUAAAGCAUUU
Molecule: long non-coding RNA, 249 nt
Filed under: Dunaliella salina
Lineage: Eukaryota; Viridiplantae; Chlorophyta; Chlorophyceae; Chlamydomonadales; Dunaliellaceae
Description: long non-coding RNA (DSAL_LNC000305)
Source: RNAcentral